RNAcentral lists this ribosomal RNA (458 nucleotides) under uncultured bacterium. RNAcentral describes it as "partial 16S ribosomal RNA". It matches the Rfam family "Bacterial small subunit ribosomal RNA", at positions 338 to 795 of the family's 1533-position model. The record is from RNAcentral.
CCUACGGGUGGCAGCAGUGAGGAAUAUUGGUCAAUGGGCGAGAGCCUGAACCAGCCAAGUCGCGUGAGGGAGUACUGCCCUAUGGGUUGUAAACCUCUUUUGUCGGGGAGCAAAAGCCGGACGUGUCCGGCUGUGAGAGUACCCGAAGAAAAAGCAUCGGCUAACACUGUGCCAGCAGCCGCGGUAAUACUGAGGAUGCGAGCGUUAUCCGGAUUUAUGGGGUUUAAAGGUUGCGCAGGCGGAGUUUUAAGUCAGCGGGAAAAUCGUGGGGCUAAACCCCAUCCAGCCGUUGAAACUGGGGAUCUAGAGUGUGGGAGAGGUAUGCGGAAUGCGUGGUGUAGCGGUGAAAUGCAUAGAUAUCACGAAGAACCCCGAUUGCGAAGGCAGCAUACCGGUGCACAACUGACGCUCAGGCACGAAAGCGUGGGUAUCGAACAGGAUUAGAUACCCUGGUAGUC